This is a long non-coding RNA of Salvia splendens (bonfire salvia), 2018 nucleotides long. RefSeq lists it as uncharacterized. The record is from RefSeq and is a predicted model, not a curated record. NCBI's taxonomy places the organism in Eukaryota, Viridiplantae, Streptophyta, Magnoliopsida, Lamiales, Lamiaceae. The transcript has 2 exons.
ACUGCAGUAGGAAGUGAUUUGAUUACGAGAGAUUUCCAUCGCUUCUCGGAAAAUCGGCGAUAUUUUGCUCCAAUUUUGAGAAGCUGGUGAAAGUUGGGAGCUUCUUCGCUAUGUCAUUUGGAGCUUUCCUUUUCUGGGAAACAAUGGAGUAGGUCCAUGUCUGGAUCGCUCUUCACCAGGAUGAGAAGAAAGAGAGAAUGGAGAAUGAAGCAGAGAUAAGGAGAAUGAAAGUAGAGCUAUAUAAGCAACAAAGUGAGAAGAAUGCUACUGCCUAAUCUUGCUUUCUUUCUCUUGUCAUUUCUGAAUUCUGCCAAUUAUGCUGUUUUGCACAAUAAGUGAAGUGCUCGAGGUUUCCCUCAACCUAAUGACUCUAGUUCACACACCAGAUUUUUAGUAUGUCGAUACUGCUCAACUGAUCAAGUCAAUGAUGAAGGGAUCAAGUAGGCAACUAUCUAGUCGUUGGUCAUGCAAACGGAGAGGCCUGGCCUUCAAUACCUUGACCCACAAUACUAUAGACUAGUAAAUGGAAGUAAGGGUCGAAUCUCACAGGGACAGAGGCAUGUCGAGUUGUGUAUGAGACAUGUUGGGGGUUGCUUCUGCCACGCUUCACUACUGGUGGGUUAACUAAAAUUACUCAAGCAAUAAACUAACCUGAUCAACUAAACUAUCAACAUGAAACAUCAUAACUUGAACUGAUCAACUCAUAUAUAAAUCAUACGUCAACAUAACAGCGGGGACCACUAAAAGAAAAGUGCACUACAAAAAGCUGCAAACAAUGAAAAGGUGAUAGCGAUUGCGAUCCUAACAAACUAUGAUCUUCUUCUUCACUAAGCAUCUAAAAACAAACAUCACGGUAGAGAAAAGCAAAGCAUAUGACAUUAAAGCGAGAAACAAACAAAUCAAAACACGGAUCCAUGCGAUUUAACCCAAGAGAAAACAAAUCUAAGGUAUCUGUCCUAAACUCAUGCAAGUUAACGAAGUGAAACUUAGAUCUAACUACGAAAAAAAUCGGAAGGCAGAGCAACAGAGGUAAUCUAAACAAGAUCCAACUCCCAAAUCACCGAAUCCAACCAAACAUGCAUCACAUACUUCAUCCUAACUUCAGAUUUAAGCUUACGCUUACUCUCAGCCUCUUUGAUUGGUAGGCGGGCGGGCUAAGCCCAACAUAAAUCACUAAGUUGCACAGAGCUAACUUCCAAAUUAGAACAUAACUAAGCUAAAUAAAAGAAACACGAACAGAGAACAUCAGAUCCAAAGCAGCUUGCAUUGAAAACUCCAUUUCAAAAACGAUCCUCAACAAACAAAACAGAAUUCCAAAGCUCAAAUUCAGAAGAUCGAUCAGCAACAAGGAACAGAGUAGAGACUAAACAAAAUAACAACUAAAAUUCGGAAGAAAACAUGAACGAAAACUAAGCAACAAUUGUUUCAACCCCUCGGGUUUUGAAAGAAAAACAAACUGUGAAGGCUUCUUAGGUAGAUAUGCGUCUCUUCUUCCCUUACGAGGAAGAAAAGAGGAAGGUUGAAGUAGAACUGCAACUCCAAUGACUCCUAGCUCCUUUGCUCCAUGCUUGAAAAUGAAAAAGAGGACUGUGUAGUGACUGAGGUGAUAUUGGACUCGAAAAAAGACUCUCUUUUGCAUGCAUUCUCCUUGCUGUUUAUACGAUGAUGUUGGGCCCAAAUUCCUAGGUUAAGCCCAUCCUAUCUUGACAUUUGUGCCCUUGAGAUGACAUCUUUUCUUCUCUCUCCGGUGACUCAUCACUUCAUGUGGUGCACCCCACUUGAUCAACUUGUCGGCCGCUGCUUGUACACAACUGAUCAACUUAGCUCCAUUUCUGGCCAUUUUUUCACUCCUUUAUCGAGUUGAUCAAGUCGAUCCUACAUUUGCCGCUUUUACACUUUAUAGCCCCUGCACACUUAAAUUCACCACUUUUUCGCAUAUUAUCAACCCGGUUAGUGUAAUAAAUCCCUAUAAAACCAUGCUUGUAACGAGCCCUAUCAAUAAGAAUAUCGGUUGGUUU